AUUGAACGCUGGCGGCAGGCCUAACACAUGCAAGUCGAGCGGAUGAAGGGAGCUUGCUCCUGGAUUCAGCGGCGGACGGGUGAGUAAUGCCUAGGAAUCUGCCUGGUAGUGGGGGAUAACGUCCGGAAACGGGCGCUAAUACCGCAUACGUCCUGAGGGAGAAAGUGGGGGAUCUUCGGACCUCACGCUAUCAGAUGAGCCUAGGUCGGAUUAGCUAGUUGGUGGGGUAAAGGCCUACCAAGGCGACGAUCCGUAACUGGUCUGAGAGGAUGAUCAGUCACACUGGAACUGAGACACGGUCCAGACUCCUAAGGGAGGCAGCAGUGGGGAAUAUUGGACAAUGGGCGAAAGCCUGAUCCAGCCAUGCCGAGUGUGUGAAGAAGGUCUUCGGAUUGUAAAGCACUUUAAGUUGGGAGGAAGGGCAGUAAGUUAAUACCUUGCUGUUUUGACGUUACCAACAGAAUAAGCACCGGCUAACUUCGUG
Molecule: ribosomal RNA, 484 nt
Filed under: uncultured bacterium
Lineage: Bacteria
Description: partial 16S ribosomal RNA
Rfam family: Bacterial small subunit ribosomal RNA
Source: RNAcentral